AAAUUGAAGAGUUUGAUCAUGGCUCAGAUUGAACGCUGGCGGCAGGCCUAACACAUGCAAGUCGAACGGUAACAGGAAGCAGCUUGCUGCUUUGCUGACGAGUGGCGGACGGGUGAGUAAUGUCUGGGAAACUGCCUGAUGGAGGGGGAUAACUACUGGAAACGGUGGCUAAUACCGCAUAACGUCGCAAGACCAAAGAGGGGGACCUUCGGGCCUCUUGCCAUCAGAUGUGCCCAGAUGGGAUUAGCUUGUUGGUGAGGUAACGGCUCACCAAGGCGACGAUCCCUAGCUGGUCUGAGAGGAUGACCAGCCACACUGGAACUGAGACACGGUCCAGACUCCUACGGGAGGCAGCAGUGGGGAAUAUUGCACAAUGGGCGCAAGCCUGAUGCAGCCAUGCCGCGUGUAUGAAGAAGGCCUUCGGGUUGUAAAGUACUUUCAGCGGGGAGGAAGGUGUUGUGGUUAAUAACCGCAGCAAUUGACGUUACCCGCAGAAGAAGCACCGGCUAACUCCGUGCCAGCAGCCGCGGUAAUACGGAGGGUGCAAGCGUUAAUCGGAAUUACUGGGCGUAAAGCGCACGCAGGCGGUCUGUCAAGUCGGAUGUGAAAUCCCCGGGCUCAACCUGGGAACUGCAUUCGAAACUGGCAGGCUUGAGUCUUGUAGAGGGGGGUAGAAUUCCAGGUGUAGCGGUGAAAUGCGUAGAGAUCUGGAGGAAUACCGGUGGCGAAGGCGGCCCCCUGGACAAAGACUGACGCUCAGGUGCGAAAGCGUGGGGAGCAAACAGGAUUAGAUACCCUGGUAGUCCACGCCGUAAACGAUGUCUACUUGGAGGUUGUGCCCUUGAGGCGUGGCUUCCGGAGCUAACGCGUUAAGUAGACCGCCUGGGGAGUACGGCCGCAAGGUUAAAACUCAAAUGAAUUGACGGGGGCCCGCACAAGCGGUGGAGCAUGUGGUUUAAUUCGAUGCAACGCGAAGAACCUUACCUGGUCUUGACAUCCACGGAAGUUUUCAGAGAUGAGAAUGUGCCUUCGGGAACCGUGAGACAGGUGCUGCAUGGCUGUCGUCAGCUCGUGUUGUGAAAUGUUGGGUUAAGUCCCGCAACGAGCGCAACCCUUAUCCUUUGUUGCCAGCGGUCCGGCCGGGAACUCAAAGGAGACUGCCAGUGAUAAACUGGAGGAAGGUGGGGAUGACGUCAAGUCAUCAUGGCCCUUACGACCAGGGCUACACACGUGCUACAAUGGCGCAUACAAAGAGAAGCGACCUCGCGAGAGCAAGCGGACCUCAUAAAGUGCGUCGUAGUCCGGAUUGGAGUCUGCAACUCGACUCCAUGAAGUCGGAAUCGC
Molecule: ribosomal RNA, 1344 nt
Filed under: Salmonella enterica
Lineage: Bacteria; Pseudomonadati; Pseudomonadota; Gammaproteobacteria; Enterobacterales; Enterobacteriaceae
Also listed under: 2 other names
Description: bacterial SSU rRNA
Rfam family: Bacterial small subunit ribosomal RNA
Source: RNAcentral